Molecule: ribosomal RNA, 598 nt
Filed under: uncultured bacterium
Lineage: Bacteria
Description: bacterial SSU rRNA
Rfam family: Bacterial small subunit ribosomal RNA
Source: RNAcentral
CCUAACACAUGCAAGUCGAACGGUAACGUUUCUAGCUUGCUAGAAGAUGACGAGUGGCGGACGGGUGAGUAAUGCUUGGGAACUUGCCUUUGCGAGGGGGAUAACAGUUGGAAACGACUGCUAAUACCGCAUAAUGUCUUCGGACCAAACGGGGCUUCGGCUCCGGCGCAAAGAGAGGCCCAAGUGAGAUUAGCUAGUUGGUAAGGUAACGGCUUACCAAGGCGACGAUCUCUAGCUGUUCUGAGAGGAAGAUCAGCCACACUGGGACUGAGACACGGCCCAGACUCCUACGGGAGGCAGCAGUGGGGAAUAUUGCACAAUGGGGGAAACCCUGAUGCAGCCAUGCCGCGUGUGUGAAGAAGGCCUUCGGGUUGUAAGGCACUUUCAGUUGUGAGGAAAAGUUAGUAGUUAAUACCUGCUAGCCGUGACGUUAACAACAGAAGAAGCACCGGCUAACUCCGUGCCAGCAGCCGCGGUAAUACGGAGGGUGCGAGCGUUAAUCGGAAUUACUGGGCGUAAAGCGCACGCAGGCGGUUUGUUAAGCUAGAUGUGAAAGCCCCGGGCUCAACCUGGGAUGGUCAUUUAGAACUGGCAGACU